This 1000-nucleotide ribosomal RNA is filed under the name Lactiplantibacillus paraplantarum. Its description in RNAcentral is "bacterial SSU rRNA". It matches the Rfam family "Bacterial small subunit ribosomal RNA", at positions 66 to 1056 of the family's 1533-position model. The record is from RNAcentral. Lineage: Bacteria; Bacillati; Bacillota; Bacilli; Lactobacillales; Lactobacillaceae.
CUUGCAUCAUGAUUUACAUUUGAGUGAGUGCGAACUGGUGAGUAACACGUGGGAAACCUGCCCAGAAGCGGGGGAUAACACCUGGAAACAGAUGCUAAUACCGCAUAACAACUUGGACCGCAUGGUCCGAGUUUGAAAGAUGGCUUCGGCUAUCACUUUUGGAUGGUCCCGCGGCGUAUAGCUAGAUGGUGAGGUAACGGCUCACCAUGGCAAUGAUACGUAGCCGACCUGAGAGGGUAAUCGGCCACAUUGGGACUGAGACACGGCCCAAACUCCUACGGGAGGCAGCAGUAGGGAAUCUUCCACAAUGGACGAAAGUCUGAUGGAGCAACGCCGCGUGAGUGAAGAAGGGUUUCGGCUCGUAAAACUCUGUUGUUAAAGAAGAACAUAUCUGAGAGUAACUGUUCAGGUAUUGACGGUAUUUAACCAGAAAGCCACGGCUAACUACGUGCCAGCAGCCGCGGUAAUACGUAGGUGGCAAGCGUUGUCCGGAUUUAUUGGGCGUAAAGCGAGCGCAGGCGGUUUUUUAAGUCUGAUGUGAAAGCCUUCGGCUCAACCGAAGAAGUGCAUCGGAAACUGGGAAACUUGAGUGCAGAAGAGGACAGUGGAACUCCAUGUGUAGCGGUGAAAUGCGUAGAUAUAUGGAAGAACACCAGUGGCGAAGGCGGCUGUCUGGUCUGUAACUGACGCUGAGGCUCGAAAGUAUGGGUAGCAAACAGGAUUAGAUACCCUGGUAGUCCAUACCGUAAACGAUGAAUGCUAAGUGUUGGAGGGUUUCCGCCCUUCAGUGCUGCAGCUAACGCAUUAAGCAUUCCGCCUGGGGAGUACGGCCGCAAGGCUGAAACUCAAAGGAAUUGACGGGGGCCCGCACAAGCGGUGGAGCAUGUGGUUUAAUUCGAAGCUACGCGAAGAACCUUACCAGGUCUUGACAUACUAUGCAAAUCUAAGAGAUUAGACGUUCCCUUCGGGGACAUGGAUACAGGUGGUGCAUGGUGUCGUC